GGAUUGUGGCUUAGUGGUAUAGUGCUUGCCUGGCAUGUGUGAGGCACUGGGUUCAAUUCUCAGCACCA
Molecule: transfer RNA, 68 nt
Filed under: Marmota monax (woodchuck)
Lineage: Eukaryota; Metazoa; Chordata; Mammalia; Rodentia; Sciuridae
Description: tRNA.Ala
Rfam family: tRNA (bases 5-65)
About the family: Transfer RNA (tRNA) molecules are approximately 80 nucleotides in length. Their secondary structure includes four short double-helical elements and three loops (D, anti-codon, and T loops). Further hydrogen bonds mediate the characteristic L-shaped molecular structure. tRNAs have two regions of fundamental functional importance: the anti-codon, which is responsible for specific mRNA codon recognition, and the 3' end, to which the tRNAs corresponding amino acid is attached (by aminoacyl-tRNA synthetases). tRNAs cope with the degeneracy of the genetic code in two manners: having more than one tRNA (with a specific anti-codon) for a particular amino acid; and 'wobble' base-pairing, i.e. permitting non-standard base-pairing at the 3rd anti-codon position.
Source: RNAcentral